GAAAACAUCCUUGGCAAAUGCUUUCGCAGUAGUUAGUCUUCAAUAAAUCCAAGAAUUUCACCUCUGACAAUUGAAUACUAAUGCCCCCAACUAUCCCUAUUAAUCAUUACGUCAAUCCUAGAAACCAACAAAAUAGGAUCAACGUCCUAUUUCAUUAUUCCAUGCUAAUGUAUUCAAGCGCGAGCCUGCUUUAAACACUCUAAUUUUUUCAAAGUAACAGUCCUGAUUCCCCACCACACCAAAUUAAUGACAUGAUGGUUCGUCAGAAGGUAGGAACCAGUAACACCAGUACGUACCUAAGGCACGACCGACGUACUAAUCCCGAAAUUCAACUACGAGCUUUUUAACUGCAACAACUUUAAUAUACGCUAUUGGAGCUGGAAUUACCGCG
Molecule: ribosomal RNA, 391 nt
Filed under: uncultured Glomus
Lineage: Eukaryota; Fungi; Glomeromycota; Glomeromycetes; Glomerales; Glomeraceae
Description: partial 18S ribosomal RNA
Source: RNAcentral